AUGAAGACAUUGAUGAUGGUUCAAAUAUAACUGAUGAAUCUUUUCAUGCUGCUUAUGAAGAUGCGACAAACACAGAAAUCGUAGAUGACAUCAUCUCAACACAAGACACGUCCAAUGAAAUUCAGCGCUUGGAAGGAGUGCCUGAAGACAAUCAAAUUGAU
Molecule: long non-coding RNA, 161 nt
Organism: Xenia sp. Carnegie-2017
Lineage: Eukaryota; Metazoa; Cnidaria; Anthozoa; Malacalcyonacea; Xeniidae
Exons: 3
Source: RefSeq, a predicted model, not a curated record